This 467-nucleotide ribosomal RNA is filed under the name Johnius coitor (Coitor croaker). RNAcentral's name for it is "partial large subunit ribosomal RNA". It matches the Rfam family "Bacterial large subunit ribosomal RNA", at positions 1996 to 2606 of the family's 2925-position model. The record is from RNAcentral. Lineage: Eukaryota; Metazoa; Chordata; Actinopteri; Sciaenidae.
AUGGUCAAACGAGGGCUUAGCUGUCUCCUUUUUCAUGUCAAUGAAAUUGAUUUCUUCGUGCAAAAGCGGGGAUUACCCCAUAAGACGAGAAGACCCUGUGAAGCUUUAGAUGAGAAGGCAGAUCUGAUUAAUAAGCCCUAGUAAAGGAUCAAGCUACUAACCCCUGUCUUAGCAUCUUCGGUUGGGGCGACCACGGGGAGUUACAUAACCCCCGCGUGGAUUGGGCAUAAGAAUGUUCUUGUUCCUAAAGCCAAGAGCCUCCGUUCUAAGAAACAGAAUUUCUGACCUCAUAGGAUCCGGCAAUGCUGAUCAACGGACCAAGUUACUCCAGGGAUAACAGCGCCAUCCUCUUUCAGAGCCCUUAUCGACAAGAGGGUUUACGACCUCGAUGUUGGAUCAGGACAUCCUAAUGGUGUAGCCGCUAUUAAGGGUUCGUUUGUUCAACGAUUAAUAGUCCUACGUGAUCU